AUGGAGAUGAGGAUCCUUUCCCCAGCUGAUCGACUAUGAUUAUACUGUGCGCAACUGCGACGCCUCCUCUGCGGAGGAGGGUCCCAAGCCAGAAAUCUGAUCCAU
RNAcentral lists this small nucleolar RNA (105 nucleotides) under Zea mays. Its description in RNAcentral is "Small nucleolar RNA Z103". It matches the Rfam family "Small nucleolar RNA Z103". Rfam says of the family: This family consists of several snoRNA Z103 sequences which are members of the C/D class of snoRNA which contain the C (UGAUGA) and D (CUGA) box motifs. This family seems to be found exclusively in plants. C/D box small nucleolar RNAs are known to act as a methylation guides for 18S ribosomal RNA. The record is from Rfam by way of RNAcentral. Lineage: Eukaryota; Viridiplantae; Streptophyta; Magnoliopsida; Poales; Poaceae.